RNAcentral lists this unclassified non-coding RNA (327 nucleotides) under soil metagenome. Its description in RNAcentral is "partial contains 5.8S ribosomal RNA, internal transcribed spacer 2, and large subunit ribosomal RNA". The stretch from base 1 to 120 matches the Rfam family "5.8S ribosomal RNA", at positions 35 to 154 of the family's 154-position model. The record is from RNAcentral.
GAUGAAGAACGUAGCGAAAUGCGAUAAGUAAUGUGAAUUGCAGAAUUCAGUGAAUCAUCGAAUCUUUGAACGCACAUUGCGCCCUUUGGUAUUCCGAAGGGCAUGCCUGUUCGAGCGUCAUUUCACCACUCAAGCCUGGCUUGGUAUUGGGCGCCGCGGUCGAUCCGCGCGCCUCAAAGUCUCCGGCUGAGCUGUCCGUCUCUAAGCGUUGUGAUUUCAUUAAUCGCUUCGGAGUGCGGGCGGCCGCGGCCGUUAAAUCUUUCACAAGGUUGACCUCGGAUCGGGUAGGGAUACCCGCUGAACUUAAGCAUAUCAAUAAGCGGAGGA